UCCCAGAUAGCUCAGUUGGUAAAGAAUCUGCCUGCAAUGCAGGAGACCCUGGUUCGAUUCCUGGGUAGGGAA
Molecule: transfer RNA, 72 nt
Filed under: Bos taurus (domestic cattle)
Lineage: Eukaryota; Metazoa; Chordata; Mammalia; Artiodactyla; Bovidae
Also listed under: 4 other names
Rfam family: tRNA
About the family: Transfer RNA (tRNA) molecules are approximately 80 nucleotides in length.
Source: Rfam by way of RNAcentral